This 636-nucleotide ribosomal RNA is filed under the name Bacillus sp. 01075. RNAcentral describes it as "bacterial SSU rRNA". It matches the Rfam family "Bacterial small subunit ribosomal RNA", at positions 48 to 668 of the family's 1533-position model. Lineage: Bacteria; Bacillati; Bacillota; Bacilli; Caryophanales; Bacillaceae. The record is from RNAcentral.
CUAAUACAUGCAAGUCGAGCGGACAGAAGGGAGCUUGCUCCCGGAUGUUAGCGGCGGACGGGUGAGUAACACGUGGGUAACCUGCCUGUAAGACUGGGAUAACUCCGGGAAACCGGAGCUAAUACCGGAUAGUUCCUUGAACCGCAUGGUUCAAGGAUGAAAGACGGUUUCGGCUGUCACUUACAGAUGGACCCGCGGCGCAUUAGCUAGUUGGUGGGGUAAUGGCUCACCAAGGCGACGAUGCGUAGCCGACCUGAGAGGGUGAUCGGCCACACUGGGACUGAGACACGGCCCAGACUCCUACGGGAGGCAGCAGUAGGGAAUCUUCCGCAAUGGACGAAAGUCUGACGGAGCAACGCCGCGUGAGUGAUGAAGGUUUUCGGAUCGUAAAGCUCUGUUGUUAGGGAAGAACAAGUGCGAGAGUAACUGCUCGCACCUUGACGGUACCUAACCAGAAAGCCACGGCUAACUACGUGCCAGCAGCCGCGGUAAUACGUAGGUGGCAAGCGUUGUCCGGAAUUAUUGGGCGUAAAGGGCUCGCAGGCGGUUUCUUAAGUCUGAUGUGAAAGCCCCCGGCUCAACCGGUGAGGGUCAUUGGAAACUGGGAAACUUGAGCGCCAAGAGGAGAGCGGAAUU